GCCUACCAAGGCGACGAUCCGUAGCUGGUCUGAGAGGAUGAUCAGCCACAUCGGGACUGAGACACGGCCCGAACUCCUACGGGAGGCAGCAGUGGGGAAUAUUGGACAAUGGGGGCAACCCUGAUCCAGCCAUGCCGCGUGUGUGAAGAAGGCUUUCGGGUUGUAAAGCACUUUCAGUAGGGAGGAAAACCUUAUGGUUAAUACCCAUGAGGCUUGACGUUACCUACAGAAGAAGCACCGGCUAACUCCGUGCCAGCAGCCGCGGUAAUACGGAGGGUGCAAGCGUUAAUCGGAAUUACUGGGCGUAAAGCGCGCGUAGGUGGUUUGGUAAGCGAGAUGUGAAAGCCCCGGGCUUAACCUGGGAACGGCAUUUCGAACUGUCAGACUAGAGUGUGGUAGAGGGUAGUGGAAUUUCCUGUGUAGCGGUGAAAUGCGUAGAUAUAGGAAGGNAANNCACCAGUGGCGAAGGCGGCUACCUGGACCAACACUGACACUGAGGUGCGAAAGCGUGGGGAGCAAACAGGANNAGGAUACCCUGGUAGUCCACGCCGUAAACGAUGUCAACUAGCCGUUGGGACUCUUGAAGUCUUAGUGGCGCAGCUAACGCACUAAGUUGACCGCNCUGGGGAGUACGGCCGNNCAAGNGUUAAAACUCAAAUGAAUUGACGGGGGCCCGCACAAGCGGUGGAGCAUGUGGUUUAAUUCGACGCAACGCGAAGAACCUUACCUGGCCUUGACAUCCAGAGAACUUUCCAGAGAUGGAUUGGUGCCUUCGGGAACUCUGAGACAGGUGCUGCAUGGCCGUCGUCAGCUCGUGUCGUGAGAUGUUGGGUUAAGUCCCGUAACGAGCGCAACCCCUAUCCCUGGUUGCUAGCAGGUAAUGCUGAGAACUCCAGGGAGACUGCCGGUGACAAACCGGAGGAAGGUGGGGAUGACGUCAGGUCAUCAUGGCCCUUACGGCCAGGGCUACACACGUGCUACAAUGGCGCGUACAGAGGGCUGCCAACUCGCGAGAGUGAGCCAAUCCCUUAAAACGCGUCGUAGUCCGGAUCGGAGUCUGCAACUCGACUCCGUGAAGUCGGAAUCGCUAGUAAUCGCGAAUCAGAAUGUCGCGGUGAAUACGUU
RNAcentral lists this ribosomal RNA (1125 nucleotides) under uncultured Marinobacter sp. RNAcentral's name for it is "bacterial SSU rRNA". It matches the Rfam family "Bacterial small subunit ribosomal RNA", at positions 263 to 1372 of the family's 1533-position model. Lineage: Bacteria; Pseudomonadati; Pseudomonadota; Gammaproteobacteria; Pseudomonadales; Marinobacteraceae. The record is from RNAcentral.